AGUAUUUAUGCAUUGGAAAGUAGCACUUGUGUCACUCGUUGUUGUGUUUAAGAAACAUGGAUCGUGUUUGUGCCUUUGUUCAGUGCAACAACACAAAAGUGUCGUUUUCGUUUCCCCGUGACGCAACCAGAGCUAAAGUUUGGCUGCAUGCUGCUGGUUUGCGGUGUCCUACAAAAACACACGGAAAAUAUGUUUGGAAGGAACAUUUUUUGUCUGACAGUUUUGUGAAUUGGGGACUAGUGCAAACCCGUUUCGUGGAUGGUCUUUUUUUUGAAGAAAGACGCCGUGCCAGUUUCUGUCCUCUCUACUGUCUACAUAAAUGAGCUUCAGGAACUGUGGUCUCCAGAUUGUGAGUGAUGCUGCGGAGUGGUGGGAAAACAUGGAGCGGAUUCGCAGAGUCAGCGGAUCUUUAGUCGAGGGGUGACAGAACGCUCUGAGCUCAGAUCUUCCCAGCUCCAAUUUAAAAACAUGGGGGAAUGAGACUUCACGCUCAAAUACCCACGUGGCCAAUGCAACCGGGAAGCAUCUUCGGAUUUUCUAUGGAGUGGAUAAAAUGAGGCUGGAAGAAAUGGUGAUAAAUGUGGGAGUAGGGAUUGGAGGUACAGCAUCAAAAACUGAACAAUCAGCAUCAGGGAACAUUUCCACCGAUGUGAAGAUGGUUUUUAAACCAGACUCCCGGGUCCGUUACAUUCACUUGCCGCAGAACGAGACAUGUAACUUUGCCGGGGAAGGCACCAUCUAUGCCUCUGUCCUUUUGGAAGAUGAAAACGACGAAAAAAAAUCUGCAGUGGUGUCAUCUGCCAAAAUUUCCCAUAUCCCCAGCGACCGGGUCUUUUAUCGUGACUGCCAAUCAUACCAUCAAAUUGCAGAAGUAUGGUGCAAGCCUUUGGGUUGAUGAAGACGGCAAUAACCAUCGUCCUUAACUUUCCUCUUCAUCCAUCAUGAGGCCACCUUGGAAGUGUGCUGAGGCCCCAUAGUGGGUAGUAGUGCACUGGUUGAGAACCACUGGUUUAGAUAACAAAAUCUUUGUUUUCAACAACAAUGUAAAAAAAAAAUCUUAGUAAUAAUGUUAACAUACCUCUGGUAUUAAUUAACAGAUUUUAUUUUAAAUAUGUGCUCUGAAAUAUAAAAAGCAAUGGGGAUCUUUAAAAUGUUAGCUGUGAACACUUUAUUUCAUCAUUGUUAGAAAUCUAUAGUGAAUAUUUCUUCUAAUGGAAAAAUUGUUCGCAAAACUCUCACAAAAAUUAAAUCUAUGAAACUAACUUAAAGCUACCACAUUUUGCAAAGAUUUAUAUUUCAAUAAAAGCAAUACAAAAUUCAAAGCUCUUAAUAAUCAGGUUAUUGGUUAAUGGAAUGAUGAGCUGUAAAAUAACAGAGCUUAAUCAUAUGGAAACAGAAAUCUCACCACAAUGUGUAUCAUCAAUAAAAACAUUAAUUUCAUUAUAUUGCAUUACAAAUUUGCAUUGUGAUAAAUGCAGAAGAGAUUAUUUAAAAACAUGCAUUUAACAUUUUAUUGAGCUAAUACCGUUAAAGAAAUAAUCAUGACUGUUAGAAAAAGAACACUCCCUUCCACAGAUGUUUCCUCUUAUUGUUUGAGUGUGAGUGAUCUCAUUUCUCUCUUACUCCUGCCCUCCCUUUCUUUUCCCAUGUUUUUCUCUCUCCUCCCAUCUGUGUUCUCUUUCUCUAGUCCUAUAUCUCUUUACCUCAAUGUAUACAUGCAUGCGCAGACGAUACAUAGAGUUCAAUCGGUGAAGAAUGGGUGGGGGACCUCUGUGGGCCCAGGUUACUGGGUUUAGUUUGUCCUUUACUGAAAGUUGAAGAGUCCCACUGCCAAUAUAUAUUCCUUAUAUGUCCAGUAUUUGCUGAUCAUAUGCUUACCUCAGCUUGUUGUUUUGGCUUAUACUCAACACAUAUGUAAUCUGUAUCCUAUUGGUUGAAAGGGCUGUACCACCAUUAUUGUAUCUUUAUAUACUCAGUGUAAGACAAUAAAGAUUUGAAGUUAAGGUAUACUCAGA
Long non-coding RNA from Cyprinus carpio (common carp), 2015 nucleotides. RefSeq lists it as uncharacterized. Lineage: Eukaryota; Metazoa; Chordata; Actinopteri; Cypriniformes; Cyprinidae. The record is from RefSeq and is a predicted model, not a curated record.